Molecule: ribosomal RNA, 241 nt
Filed under: uncultured Staphylococcus sp.
Lineage: Bacteria; Bacillati; Bacillota; Bacilli; Caryophanales; Staphylococcaceae
Description: partial 16S ribosomal RNA
Rfam family: Bacterial small subunit ribosomal RNA
Source: RNAcentral
CGGACGGGUGAGUAACACGUGGAUAACCUACCUAUAAGACUGGGAUAACUUCGGGAAACCGGAGCUAAUACCGGAUAAUAUUUUGAACCGCAUGGUUCAAAAGUGAAAGACGGUCUUGCUGUCACUUAUAGAUGGAUCCGCGCUGCAUUAACUAGUUGGUAAGGUAACGGCUUACCAAGGCAACGAUGCAUAGCCGACCUGAGAGGGUGAUCGGCCACACUGGAACUGAGACACGGUCCAG